GGGUUGGAUCCUGCCGGAGGUCACUGCUAUCGGGGUUCGACUAAGCCAUGCGAGUCGAGAGGUGCAAGACCUCGGCGUACUGCUCAGUAACACGUGGAUAAUCUACCCUGAGGAGAGGGAUAACCCCGGGAAACUGGGGAUAAUACCUCAUAGGUUACGGAGGCUGGAAUGCCCUGUAACCCAAAGCUCCGGCGCCUCAGGAUGAGUCUGCGGCCGAUUAGGUUGUUGUUGGGGUAACGGCCCAACAAGCCGAUAAUCGGUACGGGUUGUGGGAGCAAGAGCCCGGAGAUGGAUUCUGAGACAUGAAUCCAGGCCCUACGGGGCGCAGCAGGCGCGAAAACUUUACAAUGCGAGCAAUCGUGAUAAGGGAACCCCGAGUGCCUGUACACGCAGGCUGUUCAGAUGUCUAAAACGCAUCUGGAGAAAGGGCCGGGCAAGACCGGUGCCAGCCGCCGCGGUAAUACCGGCGGCUCGAGUGGUGGCCACUAUUACUGGGCUUAAAGCGUCCGUAGCUGGGUUGUUAAGUCUCCUGAGAAAUCUGCCGGCUUAACCGUCAGGCGUUCAGGUGAUACUGGCAAUCUCGGGACUGGGGGAGGUGAGAGGUACUCCGGGGGUAGGAGUGAAAUCCUGUAAUCCUCGGGGGACCACCUGUGGCGAAGGCGUCUCACCAGAACAGCUCCGACAGUGAGGGACGAAAGCUGGGGGAACAAACCGGAUUAGAUACCCGGGUAGUCCCAGCUGUAAACGAUGCGCGUUAGGUGUGUCGGUAACCACGAGUUACCGAGGUGCCGUAGGGAAACUGCUAAACGCGCCGCCUGGGAAGUACGGUCGCAAGGCUGAAACUUAAAGGAAUUGGCGGGGGAGCACCACAACGGGUGGAGCCUGCGGUUUAAUUGGAGUCAACGCCGGGA
Molecule: ribosomal RNA, 911 nt
Filed under: uncultured archaeon
Lineage: Archaea
Description: bacterial SSU rRNA
Rfam family: Archaeal small subunit ribosomal RNA
Source: RNAcentral